GAUUUUAAAUAAAGAGGGAAUGGAGUGAAGAUCUCCAGCUGUGCCGCAACCGUAAAAGCCGGAAUACUCAGAAAA
RNAcentral lists this non-coding RNA (75 nucleotides) under Clostridium sp. The record is from RNAcentral. Lineage: Bacteria; Bacillati; Bacillota; Clostridia; Eubacteriales; Clostridiaceae.